GGCAGUGUGACCUAAUGGAAAGGCCAUGGGCCUAGGAGUCAGAGGACCUGGAUUCUAAUCCCAGCUCUGCCA
This 72-nucleotide transfer RNA is filed under the name Ornithorhynchus anatinus (platypus). It matches the Rfam family "tRNA". Rfam says of the family: Transfer RNA (tRNA) molecules are approximately 80 nucleotides in length. Their secondary structure includes four short double-helical elements and three loops (D, anti-codon, and T loops). The record is from Rfam by way of RNAcentral. Lineage: Eukaryota; Metazoa; Chordata; Mammalia; Monotremata; Ornithorhynchidae.